RNAcentral lists this unclassified non-coding RNA (293 nucleotides) under rhizosphere metagenome. RNAcentral describes it as "partial ribosomal RNA internal transcribed spacer region". The record is from RNAcentral.
GUAGGUGAACCUGCGGAAGGAUCAUUAUUGAAUGAACUUGGUGUAGUUGUUGCUGGUCCUUUCGGGGGCAUGUGCACGCCCACCAUCCUCAUCUCUCCACCUGUGCACCUCUUGUAGACUUGGAUUGACUUUCCGAGGCAACUCGGUCGGGAGGAUUGCUGGCAUCAGCUGGCUUUCUUUGCAUUUCCGGGUCUACGUUUUUCAUAUACCCCAUUGUAUGUAACAGAAUGUCAUAUUGGGCCCUUGUGCCUAUAAACCUUAUACAACUUUCAGCAACGGAUCUCUUGGCUCUC